Polypterus senegalus (gray bichir) is the source of this 508-nucleotide long non-coding RNA. RefSeq lists it as uncharacterized. Lineage: Eukaryota; Metazoa; Chordata; Cladistia; Polypteriformes; Polypteridae. The transcript has 4 exons. The record is from RefSeq and is a predicted model, not a curated record.
GGAGGAGGUGAUUUUUGACAGCAGGGACCAGGCAAGAGCAACGCAAAUUUCCUGCUUUCUUUUCCGAUAUGAAGACAAAUCAGAAAGCCUGGUUUUAAAACUAGCAGAUCCAUCUACCGAGCCUUAGAAAACGCCGUGUCCGGAAUUUCCUGAAUGCACCAGUUUUAAGGGAUUUGGGAGUUUUCAGUCCUGGCUUAAUACGAAAUUCGCUGCGAAUUGUCCUGACACAUGAAUGAGAACUUAAUGGAAACCACUUUCAGUGGCAACAAAUCCCGUCUGCUAAGCUGAAGAUUACAAUGGCUUGUUGACUAAAUUAGUAGCACUUGAUUACGGUUGUCAAACCUUGGGAGCUGCUGUGACUCAAAAACUGCAGUGGCUGUAUCUUGAAGAUUAAGGAAAAAACACGGCACACAAUGGAUCUUGUUCAUGUGCCAGUGUUGGUUUCCAGCUUCCUUUUCUCAGAUGUAUUAAGUGCUGCAGCAAAUGACACAGACAGUAUUUCACCACC